Molecule: ribosomal RNA, 301 nt
Filed under: uncultured bacterium
Lineage: Bacteria
Description: partial 16S ribosomal RNA
Rfam family: Bacterial small subunit ribosomal RNA
Source: RNAcentral
CAGUAGCCGCGGGAAUACGUAGGUGGCAAGCGUUGUCCGGAAUUAUUGGGCGUAAAGCGCGCGCAGGUGGUUUAAUAAGUCUGAUGUGAAAGCCCACGGCUCAACCGUGGAGGGUCAUUGGAAACUGUUAAACUUGAGUGCAGGAGAGAAAAGUGGAAUUCCUAGUGUAGCGGUGAAAUGCGUAGAGAUUAGGAGGAACACCAGUGGCGAAGACGGCUUUUUGGCCUGUAACUGACACUGAGGCGCGAAAGCGUGGGGAGCAAACAGGAUUAGAUACCCGUGUAGUCCCUGUCUCUUAUAC